GGAUCCCCUAGAGGAACAGACAGACCUGAAUUUCCUGUAUCAGCAGACACACAAUCAGUACUAGUGGAAAGAUGAGCAGCAGAUUUCCUUCCCUUGGCGUAAGAAAUGCUUUGAGGAAAACCAUGCAGCUUGAAACAAUUAUCAAUUAAGUGUCCAGACUUCUUGCAAUAUCUGCAAAACAAGUUUCCUCUAUUUUGUUCA
This 201-nucleotide long non-coding RNA is filed under the name Nicotiana benthamiana. RNAcentral's name for it is "long non-coding RNA (NBEN_LNC007539)". The record is from RNAcentral. Lineage: Eukaryota; Viridiplantae; Streptophyta; Magnoliopsida; Solanales; Solanaceae.